UACCCAAUGAUAUCUCUAGAAGACAUCUGAAAGAGAUUAAAGAUUUAUCGGUGAUGGAUGGGGAUGCGUCUGAUUAGCUUGUGGGCGGGGUAACGGCCCACCAAGGCGACGAUCAGUAGGGGUUCUGAGAGGAAGGUCCCCCACAUUGGAACUGAGACACGGUCCAAACUCCUACGGGAGGCAGCAGUGAGGAAUAUUGGUCAAUGGACGAGAGUCUGAACCAGCCAAGUAGCGUGCAGGAUGACGGCCCUAUGGGUUGUAAACUGCUUUUAUAAGGGAAUAAAGUGAGAGUCGUGACUCUUUUUGCAUGUACCUUAUGAAUAAGGACCGGCUAAUUCCGUGCCAGCAGCCGCGGUAAUACGGAAGGUCCGGGCGUUAUCCGGAUUUAUUGGGUUUAAGGGGAGCGUAGGCCGGAGAUUAAGCGUGUUGUGAAAUGUAGACGCUCAACGUCUGCACUGCAGCGCGAACUGGUUUCCUUGAGUACGCACAAAGUGGGCGGAAUUCGUGGUGUAGCGGUGAAAUGCUUAGAUAUCACGAAGAACUCCGAUUGCGAAGGCAGCUCACUGGAGCGCAACUGACGCUGAAGCUCGAAAGUGCGGGUAUCGAACAGGAUUAGAUACCCUGGUAGUCCGCACGGUAAACGAUGGAUGCC
This 652-nucleotide ribosomal RNA is filed under the name uncultured bacterium. Its description in RNAcentral is "bacterial SSU rRNA". It matches the Rfam family "Bacterial small subunit ribosomal RNA", at positions 167 to 817 of the family's 1533-position model. The record is from RNAcentral.